Molecule: ribosomal RNA, 352 nt
Filed under: Sciomesa sp. SCKEG5406
Lineage: Eukaryota; Metazoa; Arthropoda; Insecta; Lepidoptera; Noctuidae
Description: partial 12S small subunit ribosomal RNA
Source: RNAcentral
AAAAUUUAAAGUUAAAAUACUAAAAUAGUAAAUAAAAUAUUUGUUGAAACUUAAAUAAUUUGGCGGUAUUUUAGUUCAUUUAGAGGAAUCUGUUUAAUAAUUGAUAUUCCACGAGUAAAUUUACUUAAUUUAUAAUUUUGUAUAUCGUUGUUAAAAAAAUAUUUUUUAAUAAUAUUAAUAUUUAAAAAUUAAAAUAUAAAUUUAAGUCAGAUCAAGAUGCAGAUUAUAAUUAAGAAUAUAAUGGAUUACAAUAAAUUUAUUUAAAUGGAUUUUAAUUUUUAAUAGUUAAUUGAAAGUGGAUUUAAAUGUAAUUUUAUUUAAUUUAAUAAAAUGAUUAAAAAUUAAAAUAUGU